RNAcentral lists this ribosomal RNA (248 nucleotides) under Piscibacillus halophilus. RNAcentral's name for it is "16S rRNA. Bacterial SSU". It matches the Rfam family "Bacterial small subunit ribosomal RNA", at positions 1 to 222 of the family's 1533-position model. The record is from RNAcentral. Lineage: Bacteria; Bacillati; Bacillota; Bacilli; Caryophanales; Bacillaceae.
CUUUUAUGGAGAGUUUGAUCCUGGCUCAGGACGAACGCUGGCGGCGUGCCUAAUACAUGCAAGUCGAGCGCGGGAAGCAAACUGAAUCCUUCGGGAGGACGUUUGUGGAACGAGCGGCGGACGGGUGAGUAACACGUGGGCAACCUGCCUGUAAGACUGGGAUAACUCCGGGAAACCGGGGCUAAUACCGGAUAACUCAUCGGAUCGCAUGAUCCGAGGUUGAAAGAUGGCUUCUUGCUAUCACUUAC